This is a long non-coding RNA of Felis catus (domestic cat), 2981 nucleotides long. RefSeq lists it as uncharacterized. The transcript has 3 exons. NCBI's taxonomy places the organism in Eukaryota, Metazoa, Chordata, Mammalia, Carnivora, Felidae. The record is from RefSeq and is a predicted model, not a curated record.
CUGAAUUUCUUGAAACUCCUCCUCUUUCAAUGCCCACGUUUCCCCAUCCUCUGCAAUCAGACACUUACCGCAUGAGGAGAUUCAUAGUGUAGGCACAUGAAGCGUGACCAGAAGACCAGGGCUCAUAUGUAGCCAUGCAGCAGGAUAACAGCUGAUGAAAGAGAGCGUGCUGAGUAUUCCCGAAGAUACAGUAGAAGAAAGACAGAGAUACAUGAGACAUUCCAGCUGAGAGACAGACUUCCUACCGUGGCAAAGCCAACCUGAGGUCUUGUGUGACCCCCAGUGUAAUGACUGGAUCCUGAGGCUAGAUCAGAAGACCAAGUGCUGACAGAAGCACAUCAGGGGAGAAAAUGGAGUGUCCUGGUGUUGCUCACAGUGAAGAUAUUUUGGAAAGGGAAUCUGUUUUUGUUGUAGAAGUCUAGCUGGUAUUUCAAACAUUUUCCCUUAGUAAAACAUUGUCUACUAAAAAGAAAUCUGUACAGGAUUCUGAGAAACUUGAAUUGUAGUCCCAAUUCUCUAACAGAAUUGAUUGUGACACUGAAGAAAUAUUCUUCUUCUUUGGGCUGUCUUAAUUUGGAAAAAUUAAUGACUCAAUAGUCAUUCUCUGUUUUGUAUCUGCUCAUUAUGUGUCAUUGGAAUAAUCCCACAACAUUUUCAGGCCUUUUGUUUUUUAUCACUAAAUUUGAAAUGGCAUCAUGUGAUUUCUAUCCUCAAAAAACUUACGGUUGUGCAAAAAGUAAUAUUCAUGAAAUUAAAAAUAUAAGCACCACAAAUAAUCACCCCCAUUUUUUUGCAACCUCUUUAUCAUCUAACAACCUUCUGGAGCAAAUAGAGUGCAAUUACCAUUGGCACUCUUAAUCAAUAGGAAGACAAGGUCUAGAGAAGUAAACUGAUGUCAUCUACAUCACAGAGUAUGUUAAUUUCACAACUGAAAUAAGGGGUCCUGAUUUAUGUGUCCUGAUUCAGAUUUUUCAAGUUUUACUUCACCCAAAUAUGCAUAAAUGUGACCAAUAUCUGAAUUCUUAGAUAUUUCUUUCAAAUAAGCCACUUUUUCUAAUAUCAAUUCAUAAGGCUGCAAUUAAUUUAUUAGUUAAUGAAUAUCAAAGAGAUAAAGAGAAUUGAGGAGCCCCUCUUAUUUGGACAGAGAUUUUCACUGAUGACACCAAAGAGUCUUGGUCUCAACCUUGACACGAGCCUCGACACUAGGGGAAAGAGGCUUGGAUGGUAGAGGGCGGAGAGCGACAAUUAUUACCAUCUUCCCUUCCCCUCUCUUCCCAGCCUAUUCUUGCCCCUGAAGGAAGUUUUUAAGUGGUUAUUAUAAUAUAGUGGUAUUCUGUGAUAUUCUGGGUUGUGAAGAGCAGAAAAACUGUGGUUACAGAAGAGUUGGAUUUAUUUCCCCUGAGAAGCAAGGGGAUAAGGAUAUUGAGGGGGUGCCACCCUGGUACACAAUGGGCGCAUCCACCCAAAUGUCCCAGGGUCUUGUCCUUGAGUCCCCCUCUCUGACCUAGACCUCAGUUAUUUAACCCUGUGUUCUUUCAUUGAACACAGUUGUUGGAAUCUGAUUUCAAGACCGAACCUCUGUGGUAGACACACACUUGCAGACGGGGCAUACUGAGGUUGGAGCUAUGUGAGAGGUGUCCUGAGAGUGAGGCUCUGGGGACAGAGGGUGGUCGAGUGACAGCUUGUGCAGGAGGUAUGAAUCUGAAUACACAGUGUGACUAAAGGAGGUAAAAGCUGUGUUUCUGUGCAAGUUUGGGUGGGUGUGGGAUGAGGGAGCAGAGGGGGCUGAAUGUGUAAUCUGGAUUGAAAUAGCUGAUCUUUCUCUCACCUGAGUUUUCUGGGCUCAGUGAAUGUCUUCGGUUCAGCUCUAUGGCCCAGCCUCCUCUGGUCAACGGGCUUGAUAAGUGAGCUUAUUUAUUGACUCUGUCUGUGAUGCUCAGGAGUGUAAAGCAAAGUGGCGACCUCCAGGGACUUGGUCCAUGAAACACACUUUGAGAAAGAGAACAAGAAGGGGGGGGUGGUAAAAUGAGGAAGAAAUAAGGAAGGAGAAUCUUCUUUGAUGACUUUGCCAGGAAAGUGGAAAUGAAACAUCCGGUAUACUUUGUUUUAUGUUUUAUCCUUUCCUCUCAUCUCUCUGUUUCUCUUUUCUUCCUUGUCACUUCCUUUCUUUUCUUCUCUUUGCUUCUGUCCUCCUGGAACUCUUCUCACUGUGAACCCACCAGAAUUCUAUGCUCAUAGGCAGGAAAUAAUGGUAGUGGACAAGUGCAUACAUCGUUGUACUGUAGGCUUCACUUACAAAGUGAUCUUACAAAGUGAACACAAGUUCAAAUAUCAAAUUACCAAGAAUUUCAAUAUGAUGACAGCAGAGCUUUAAGGAAAGCACAAGGACCUUCUGAGCAUGGGCACCAUGUAACUGUCCUGCUUGUUUGCCAUGAAGCAGACCUGGUUGGAAAUGACAUCAGUGCCCUAGGUAGAUCCCCUCAGCUCCCUAACUCCAGCCAUCUCUCUGGUCCCUGCACCAGGGAUUCCUGGCAUCAAAACCCUUUGCAGAAUAGGUGAUUUUUCUUCCAUGACUUCAGAGUACUCACCUCUCUUAUUUUGUAAUAUACAUAUCUCCUUUCAAAUUAUUGUAAUCUAACAUUCAUUCAAACGUUGCAUGUGGGUAUAUCCUAAAAGAAUUUUCAAAUCACUAUAUUCUCUUCAAAACUUUAAAAGGACUCUAAGAACUUUCAUUAAAAGUGUAAAGAGCAGAAAAAGACCUAAUUUCUAGUAUUUUGUGAAUAUUGACAUUAGAAAUAAAACUCCCAUAGGACAGUUUUUAAUUUAUUUUAUGGAAAUUGUAUGCCCUAGAAAUUUCCAAUUCAGCAAUGCCCAUUUAAAAGUAUUUGAGCAAGAUUUUCUUAAUUUUCAGAAAUUCAAAAAUAUUGCUCUCUCUCUUUAAAGUUGGUCUGUAUUCCCACAUGUAUAUUUUUGCUUGAAUA